This 30-nucleotide non-coding RNA is filed under the name Homo sapiens (human). Lineage: Eukaryota; Metazoa; Chordata; Mammalia; Primates; Hominidae. The record is from RNAcentral.
UGGAACGAGUUCUUGGAAUGAAUCCCAUGC